This 210-nucleotide ribosomal RNA is filed under the name uncultured archaeon. RNAcentral describes it as "partial 16S ribosomal RNA". It matches the Rfam family "Archaeal small subunit ribosomal RNA", at positions 463 to 673 of the family's 1478-position model. The record is from RNAcentral.
UACCACGGUAAUACCAGCUCCGCGAGUGGUCGGGACGGUUAUUUGGCCUAAAGCAUCCGUAGCCGGCCCUGUCCGUCUUCCGUUAAAUCUAACGGCCCAACCGUUAGGCUGCGGAAGAUACCACAGGGCUAGGGGCGGGGAGAGGUGGACGGUACUCCAAGGUAGGGGUAAAGUACCUCUGAUCCUUGGAAGACCACCGGUGGCGAAGGC